Molecule: long non-coding RNA, 16889 nt
Filed under: Eucalyptus grandis
Lineage: Eukaryota; Viridiplantae; Streptophyta; Magnoliopsida; Myrtales; Myrtaceae
Description: long non-coding RNA (EGRA_LNC000369)
Source: RNAcentral
GAGAGAGAGAGAGAGAGAGAGAAGGCGAGAGAGACCUCGGGUCCACCGAACUCAUGAACUCUGAUAGCUUUCACCAUUUCGGAGGACGCUGAAGCGGUGGCAACCGCUCUCACCGACGAUCUGCUUUGAGCCGACGGAGAGGUGGAGAGCGAUGGAAAGCGGAUGGCUCUGCUCCUGCCGACGUUGCUGAUCGUAUCGUGUCGCGGUCGCGGAAGAAGAAGGAGAGUGGAUUGAAGAAAAUGGCGUGGAAGCAGAUGAGAUGGAGGCGACACUGAAAGCGCAGGGAGAUGAUUCAGGAAGCGUCCUAUUCGCAAGCCGGGGAAGCCACUGGACAUGCCCAUUGACUGGUGACGCCUCCGUCCCGCUUAAGUCCAAACGCCUUGCAAACAAACCUUGGCAGGUUGUAUUUACGGGUGUCUACAUAAAAAAUUUUAAUCAAGGAAUAAUGAUUUGUCCAUGAAUUUUAUUUCAAUAUGAAAUUUGGUCCAAUAACUUUUUAUUUAUUCAAUAUUAUCCCUAAAAUUUUGGUGAAUACUCAAUUUGGUCCCUUAAUUUUUAUAUGGACUAAGUAUGUAUAAAAAAUUCAUGAAUUCUAUUGAAUAAAUUAAAAGUUCAAUGGCUAAAUUGUACAUGGAGCUAAAAUUCAACUACCAUUUGCGACAUUUUUCCAAAAAUCAAUAAAUGAGUCUAAUCAAAUUGGUAAGUUCCUUUUAUGUUACAUUUUUUUGGUUGAUAAGAAGGUCCGUUUAUUUCUUGUAAUAUUAAAGAUUUGAAAAAUAUUUAUCUUGAAACAAGCGUUUGUAACUCCUUUUCAUCCUUAAUUAAAAACAAUAUAAAGUUAUUUUUCAUUGAUUAAUUUGUCUAAGCAAUGCUAGUGUAUUUUUUUCUUUUUUUUUUGAAAAAGUGUCUCAAACCAUUGGUUUUAUGUGGAAUGCAUCAUUAAAAUGUUUGAAUUUGUCGACAAAUAGAAUUUGUAAUUGAGCUGAGCAAUGUAAGUAUUAUAAAAUAUUGCUCUAUACUAUCGGAUGAUAAAAUUUUAACAGAAUUGCUAUACUUUGGGAUUUGAGUUUAGCUAAAUUGGAAAUUUGUAACUUAUGGAUAAUAAAUUUUGAUUUAAGUUUGACCAUGCUCCUCCGAAUAUAAUGGUCAUGGAGAAAUAGAUGUGCUCUUUUGUUAGUUUUUAUAACACAGAGAAGCUACAUUGUUUUAAGUGCGUGCUACAUAUCUCGUUUGUAUCUCAAUUUGAUAGUAAUGAUUUGAAAUGAAACCUACCGAUGACAAGUUGAAGAAUUGGCUCGGUUCGAGCUAGGAUUAAUGUCUUUUUCCAAACCGAUCAAUUCGAUUUUUGCUGAACUUAUCGCCAAACUGAAUAAUGAACAAACGAACGUGGAUUGUAAAUGAAGAGAUGACCAUUGGUCGGGCUUGAGUCGGGUAGGGCCUAAUAUGUUAUCUGAGAAAAAUUGUACGGCCUAAUAUGUUAUCUAAGAAAAAUUGUACAACAUUUUGUGGCACGGUCAAGGUUAGCUUCACUACUAAACCCUUGAGCAAGCCUGUCCAAAUUGCUAUUGGACACGUUGGGCUCGACACAAGCAUAAAAAAGCCUACUGAGCAACUCAACUCGGGAUCAUGUCUAUAUGGAUGGUUAGUGAAAGUGGGGUAGAUUUGCACCAACAAAAGAAAAAUAAUUACUUAUGCUGGCAUGGAACACAUAAAACAUUUCUACUUAUGACUUUGCUUCAUAAUUUGAAGGUAAAAAAAGAAAUGCUCUCGACUGCGAAGGAUUUAUUGGGAAAUCAUAGAUGAUUUUAUACAUCAAUUUUAGUGUAUUGAAUAGAUUUCAAAUGUUUUAUGCUCAGAGUAUUGAACCUCAAAAUAUGUAUAAAAAAAAAACCGUAAAACAAAAACCACUAUAAACAGGAUCGAAUGAAUGGACAUUUAAAGUAAUACCAAUGGCUACAUAACUAUAUCUAAUUAACUAAGGCAUAUUUAAAUGGGUUAAGUUUUUCUUCGACUCUAUGGUGAACUAUACCGAUUUAUGGAUUACAACAUGUGGACACCACCCUCAUGUGAAAUUAAAGAAACAUAAAUUUGGGUGAUGCUUAUGGUUGUGACUUGCCAAUCAAAAGGGCAUGUAGAAAGUUUUCUCUAAUUGCUCUAAUCAAAUAGAAGAAAACCAAACUCCGCGUGACGGGUAGGAUAAAGUACCUAACCUAGCUUUAUAAAAGUAUAAACAACGCAUGUAACUUACAACUUUUAGGGGCCACACAAGACCUAGCUUUGUAACUUACGGCUUUUUUAUUCUUGACACAAGCAUAAAAAAAGCCUACUGAGAAGCUCAACUCAAGACCAUGUCUAUAUGGAUGGUUAGUGAAAGUAGGGUAGAUUUUCAACAACAAAAGAAAAAAAAUUACUUAUGCCGGCAUGGAAUGCAUAAAACAUUUAUACUUAUGACUUUGCUUUAGAAUUUGAAGGCAAAAAAAGAAAUGAUCUUGAUUGCGAAGGAUUUAUUGGGAAAUCAUAGAUGAUUUUAUUCAUCAAUUUUAGUGUAUUGGAUAGAUUUCAAAUGUUUCAUGCUCAGAGUAUUGAACCUCAAAAUAUAUAUAAAAAAAACCGUAAAACAAAAACCACUAUAAACAGGAUCCAAUGAAUGGACAUUUAAAGUAUUAUCAAUGGCUGCAUAACUAUAUCUAAUUAACUUAGGCAUAUUUAAAUGGGUUAAGUCUUCGACCCUACGGUGAACUAUACCGAUUUGUGGAUUACAACAUGUGGACACCACCCUCAUGUGAAAUUAAAGAAACAUAAAUUUGGAUAAUGUUUAUGGUUGUGACUUGCCAAUCAAAAGGGCGUGUAGAAAGUUUUCUCUAACUGCUCUAAUCAAAUAAAAGAAAACCAAACUCCGCGUGACGGGUAUGAUAAAGUACCUAACCUAGCUUUAUAAAAGUAUAAAUAGCGCAUGUAACUUGCGACGUUUAGGGGCCACACAAGACCUAGCUUUGUAACUUACGGCUUUUUUAUGCUCAACACAAGCAUAAAAAAGCCUACUGAGCAACUCAACUCAGGACCAUGUCUAUAUGGAUGGUUAGUGAAAGUAGGGUAGAUUUGCACCAACAAAAGAAAAACAAUUACUUAUGCUGGCUUGGAACACAUAAAACAUUUCCACUUAUGACUUUGCUUCAGAAUUUGAAGGUAAAAAAAAGAAAUGCUCUUGAUUGCGAAGGAUUUAUUGGGAAAUCAUAGAUGAUUUUAUACAUCAAUUUUAGUGUAUUGAAUAGAACAAAUGUUUCAUGCUCAGAGUAUUGAACCUCAAAAUAUGUACAAAAAAAAAACCGUAAAAAAAAAAAAACCACUAUAAACAUGAUCGAAUGAAAAGACAUUAAAAGUAAUAUCAAUGGCUACAUAACUAUAUCUAAUUUUUUUUAUCCAAACAUAACUAUAUCUAAUUAACUUAUGCAUAUUUAAAUGGGUUAAGUUUUUCUUCGACCCUAUGUUGAAUUAUACCAAUUUAUGGAUUACAACAUGUGGACACCACCCUCAUGUGAAAUUAAAGAAACAUAAAUUUGGAUAAUGUUUAUGGUUGUGACUUGCCAAUCAAAAGGGCAUGUAGAAAGUUUUCUCUAAUUGCUCUAAUCAAUUAAAAGAAAACCAAACUCCAUGUGACGUGUAGGAUAAAGUACCUAACCUAGCUUUAUAAAAGUAUAAACAUCACAUGUAACUUAUGACUUUUAGGGGCCAUGCAAGACCUAGCUUUGUAACUUACGGCUUUUUUAUGCUCGACACAAGCAUAAAAAAGCCUACUAAGCAGCUCAACUUAGGACCAUGUCUAUAUGGAUGGUUAGUGAAAGUAGGGUAGUUUUUCUUCGACCCUCAUGUGAAAUUAAAGAAACAUAAAUUUGGAUAAUGUUUAUGGUUGUGACUUGCCAAUCAAAAGGGUGUGUAGAAAGUUUUCUCUAAUUGCUCUAAUCAAAUAGAAGAAAACCAAACUCCGCGUGAAGGGUAUGAUAAAGUACCUAACCUAGCUUUAUAAAAGUAUAAACAGCACAUGUAACUUACGACUUUUAGGGGCCACGCAAGACCUAGCUUUGUCAGCAUAAAAAGCCUACUGAGUAGCUCAACUCAGGACCAUGUCUAUAUGGAUGGUUAGUGAAAGUAGGGUAGAUUUUCACCAACAAAAGAAAAACAUUUACUUAUGCUGGCAUGGAACACAUAAAACAUUUCCACUUAUGACUUUGCUUCAGAAUUUGAAGGUAAAGAAAGAAAUGCUCUCGGUUGCAAAGGAUUUAUUGGGAAAUCAUAGAUGAUUUUAUUCAUCAAUUUUAGUGAAUUGAAUAGAUUUCAAAUGUUUCAUUCUCAGAGUAUUGAACCUCAAAAUAUGUAUAAAAAAAAUCGUAAAACAAAAACCACUAUAAACAUGAUUGAAUGAACGGACAUUUAAAGUAAUACCAAUGGCUACAUAACUAUAUCUAAUUAACUUAGGCAUAUUUAAAUGGGUUAAUUUUUUCUUCGACCCUAUGGUGAACUAUACCGAUUUAGGGAUUACAACAUGUGGACCACCCUCAUGUGAAAUUAAAGAAACAUAAAUUUGGAUGAUGUUUAUGGUUGUGACUUGCCAAUCAAAAGGGCGUGUAGAAAGUUUUCAUUAAUUGCUCUAAUCAAAUAGAAGAAAACGAAACUCUGCGUGAUGGGUAGGAUAAAGUACCUAACCUAACUUUAUUAAAGUAUAAACAACGCACGUAACUUACAACUUUUAGGGGCCACGUAACACCUUUGGACCAGUAGGGGAAAUCAAAAAGAUAUGGUCUUGCUUCCCAUCGAUUUUCACAAUUUCCAUAUUGCUCAAGCAUCAUAACCCUCGUUAAAAUAAUUAAAUAUUAAAUCACGCUUUCUUCUAAUAGUUUAAACUUUUAAAACAGUUAGUAAUAAUCCCACGAAAUCUCAUAUAGUAUCAAAGCUUGAGAUCCUGAGUUCAUAUAUUUUCAUAUCCCAUUUACCUCCUCAAUUAAAUAUGUCAUCUCACAGCCCUUCUAUAACGAGGAGAGACCUUUCUUUCUUUGGCCAAGACAUAUAAUGAAAGAUCCCUUCAAUGUCUGAGGGCUACUUGGAUGCAUUUGCUAGCACGAUUAAGCAGCAUCCUUCGGAAAUUUCCUACUGGCUUCUUUCGAUUCAGUCAAUAUUUGCUUGAUAUUUUAUACAAUCAUUGCCUUUUGUCCUCUGAGAAAGGUGUUCACAUGGAAACAAAGUCACCACUUCCAUAUUCAAUCUUGACCCCAUUCAUGUCGCAAUCUCCACAUAUAUGCCACGUGAUGUUAGUUUGAAUAUUCUACGGAGUGGCCUGGUCCCUAUGUCGCUCAUCACUACAAGUCAAGACAGGCUCUCUCUCUCUCUCUCUCUCUCUGUGCGCUUGUGAGGAAGUUUGAACAAGGCCAUGGCAGUGGGAUUUGCAGUAACGAGUGCUGCGGAAGGGAACUACAACGGCAAUAUAACUUGGUUUGUCAUACUGUCAUGUCUGAUGGCAGCCAUGGGAGGUGUCAUAUUCGGCUAUGACAUUGGAAUUUCAGGUCUGUCUCAUUAUUUCUUGCCAUCUUUUGGAUGCUCCUCGUGAAGGAAAAGUGCCUUUCUUAUCUCUGCUAGCUCUCAACGAAUGUCAUAGGUGGUUCUAUGACCUCCAAGUUGUCUUGUGCUGAUUGAUUAGAUGAAGUUCCUAACGUAAUUAAGCACACACCUAUUCUUUGUUAGUUUGCUAAAAGAAUGCGUUUCCAAGAAUUGAAGUUGCAAGGUUGGUGACCACUGUGAUCGCUGAUCUAUACAAAGACGUUGUUCUGAUAAGUGUGUAAAUAAUUCCUUAGGUGGAGUGAUCCCAAUGGAUUCGUUUUUGAAGAGGUUCUUCCAUGAAGUCUAUAUUAAGAUGAAUGAAGACACCAAGAUCAGCAACUACUGCAAGUUCGAUAGCCAAUUAUUGACCUCCUUCACUUCCUCCCUCUAUAUCGCUGGUCUCUUUGCUUCCUUUUUUGCAUCUUUCGUCACUAGAGUUUUCGGAUGCAAACCAUCGAUGUUGAUAGGAGGAGCUGCAUUCCUCACCGGUUCAGCCCUUGGAGGUGCAGCUUCCAAUGUUUUCAUGCUUAUAUUAGGCUGUGCUCUGCUUGGCGUUGGGGUCGGUUUUGCGAAUCAGGUAGUCAUCAUAUGACAUGAACUGUUUUUGAUGGGUUGGAACAUUGCUUAACAAUUUCUAUGCAUGUUUGAUUGGAUUGGCAGUCAGUUCCUCUUUAUCUCUCGGAAAUGGCACUGCAAGGUACAGAGGAGCUUUCAACAAUGGCUUCCAAUUUUCAUUAGGAAUUGGUGCACUGUCAGCUAACCUCAUCAACUAUGGAACUCAGAAGAUCAAAAGGCGGUUGGGGUUGGUGAAUUUCCCUCGCCAUGGGUGCAGUCCCAGCCUCACCCCUAACACUCGGUGCGCUUUUCCGUCCCAGAGACACCUAGCGGUCUAAUCCAAAGCCACAAGGGACAAGAAAAGGCCAAAUCCAUGCUGCAACUCGAGCGAGGAAUGCCCAGCGUUCAGGCAGAGCUGGAUGAUCUCAUCAAAGCAAACUUAAACACACAAACCAUUCGCCAACCGUUUCGAACAAUCACACGAGAAGUACAGGCCUCAAUUCAUCAUGGCAAUAGCCAUUCCAUUCUCCCAACAAGUCACGGGAAUCCAUGUCAUUGCAUUCUACGUGCCGGUCCUGUUCCGAACUAUCGGCCUGGGGGAAAGUGCAUCACUCAUGUCCACAGUUAUGACUGGGUUCAUUGGUUGCAGUUCGACCUUCAUAUCAAUGCUCAUAGUAGACAAGCUAGGCAGAAGAACAUAGUUCCUUGUCGGGGGCAUUCAGAUGCUUGUGUCGCUGCUUUAUAAUCGACGUUUCGGUACGCGAGAUGGGAAGAAAACAAACAACCGACCUUUCAUUCUACCCUUUCAACGCUCGUGUGGCGUGUGGAAAGCAGCAAAAAUGACAUCCCAUCAUGGUCAUGAUCAAGCUGAGCCAAUCUUAUCCCAGGAAUAAAUAAAGGCGGAAAAUAGCCGAUGAAGAUUGGGGACUCCCUUAGGAUAGCAAAAACCAAGAAAAUAAACCCUAAUGUCUGUCCAAAUGCCUAAAACAUUGAUUUAGAUAUUUUAUUGCCUAAAACAUGCUUUUCAGUAUCUUACGUGCAUAUUAAAAUGAUAAGCGCAUUUCCAAUUAGGAUUUAUUGCCUAAUCCGCAAUCACACGCUAAUUUUUUUUAUUCCAACUAUAAGGCUUUAGAUGGAAUAAUUAAUCACGCAUGAAUAAAAUUGAUAUUUUGAUCUUUAAGACUUAAGAUUAAUUUAUCGACUUUAUUAGCGAAAUAAUCAAGUUUGAUUUAGAUAUUCUGCUCUACAGCCCUGAUGAGCAGUCACACUGUCAACUCCUUGAGCAGUUCGCAGAAAUCGUGAAAAAACAUGGUAUUAUGCUCUCUCAAAGGAAGAUGAAUAUUGCCCAAACAGAAAUCAAAUUUCUUGGUAUGCACCUUAACAAAGGUACAUACUACCCAGGGCCGCAUAUUGCUCAAGAAUUAUUGAAGUUUCCUCAAAACAACUUCACAACAAAGCAAGUUCAGCAAUUUCUUGGGAUAAUUAAUUAUCUCAGGGUUUUUGUCCCAAACAUUGCAAAGCUUCUGAUUCCUUUGCAAUCUAUGCUGAAGAAGAAUUCCCCGCCUUGGGGAAAAGCUCAGACCAAAGCAGUCGCUGAACUUAAGGAGAUUAUGCAGAAUCUCCCACCAUUACAAAUACCAUCAACAGGCAAAAUGAUUCUCCAAACUGACGCCAGUGAUGAAUAUUGGGCAGCCGUUCUUUUUGAAGAAAUUGAUGGUAAGAGACUCCUCUGUGCUCAUAAAAGUGGAAAGUUUUCCCAAGCUGAAAUGCAUUACUAUUCCACUUUCAAAGAAAUCUUAGCAGUAAAAAAUGGAAUAAAAAAAUUUGAGUUUCAUCUCAUCGGCCACCACUUCUUGGUGGAAUUAGACAUGGCAUCUUUCCCUCAGAUGACCAAGUUUAAACAGAAGCAGAUUCCAAAUUCCCAACUGCUUCGAUGGGCUGAAUUGUUCUCAAAAUAUUCUUUUGAAACUAAGCAUAUUCCUGGAAAGAAGAAUGUACUUGCUGACUUCUUAUCAAGGCCAAAAGCACCAGCCGAGAUCAAUAUGUACAUCAAAAGGCCUGCUUUCCAUAUGCUCAAUCAUGGAGUGAAAUACAAAAUUGAGAACAGCAAAGAUUCGCAAAGCUGGAAAUAUCCUCAUGAGAUUAUUCAGCAAAUCUAGAACGACAGUCUUGCUGAGAACCUGGAGAACCUCAUGUGGCAAAGCCACACAGACUUAUUCAGAUUCAACGGAGGUUCGAUUCUUUAUCCUUUUGGGUUAAAUAUGAAUUAUCCAUUCAUUUAUCCUCUUAUUUGGAAGGAAGAUGAUUUCCCUGAACAGCUCAAAACGUUAUUGUGGUACUUAACCAAUAAGUACCUAAUAGCUUUUGAAAUUCCAACCAGAAGAUUCAUUGCCAACCUCACAAGGAUAUUCCUGCUCGGAAGAAACAUUGAAAAAGAAUGUGAUAGAAAUCUUUUAGAAUUUCUAAAUUGGUUCUAUCAUCCUACAUGUUGGAAACAAGACUUGGAAAAAGAACUGAGAUCCAUGACGCCAAAUCCUGAGGUCCAUACCAUCCUGUUUUUCAGACGUCCAUGGAAUUUUUGCAGAAAUAAUGGUAGUAUUUUCGAUGCACCACUAGAAAUAGGAACCACAUCCUAUAAACCUAACUUGAACAGCCGAGAAGCCUGGAUUUACAAAUCUUAUCCUAGAUCUGUUCGACUUUGUGAACAUGAAUAUCGAGAACUCCAGAGAAUCCUAUGCCAAGAGAUAAAGACCAUUCCCGAAGAUGUUUGGAAUAAUGUACCCACUACGUGGGAUCAUUAUGACCUAGCACCAGAAGCUAAGGAAGCACUCGGACAAUACAGACAAGCCUCAUCGUCCCAAGAGCCUGAAAUGACAAGCGAAGAUGACAUUGUCCAAUUCACCCAGGACCCCUAUGCACGCUUUGGAGGACCUCUGUCCCAGGAUCCCUACGAACAAUUCCAAAGCAUGGACACAUCCUUCUAUGCACAGCCAUCCAACUGGCCUCAGCCAAGAAUUCCUGACCCUCAAGAAGAUGAAAACACAAACUGGGCUGAAGAAGAAGCAUCACAUUGGGCUCAUGAACAAGCAUCCUCAUCAAGAAGGCUGAAUCAAAUCCUCUCACCUGAAGAUCUUGAAGCCCUUGAACAGAAAUACGAAGCACACCUCCUAGAAGACAGCUCGGAAGACUCAGUGUGUAGCUACAAUGCUCGUGACGGACGAGACCGUUGAGUCCGUACAAUUUCACUGUAGCAAAAUCACUGUUCACUUUUACUGUAGCACUAGGCUAGGGAAAGUACUGUUCACAGUACAGUUACUGUUCAUAGUGUGCGAAUAAUUCCCUCCCGAAAGUUUUCGGUGCCUCUGUUAGUAUCUGGACCCGUGAGCUAGGUCAUUGUGUGUGUCCUUGUGACCUCUUAUUGCCUAUAUAAGGCAAUGAGGGUGUAAUGUUUUGGGCAGACUCCCCUGAAGUAAAGAGUGUGCUUUGUGAAAAACUCUCCAUGGCUUUCUAAAUUCCUCUUCUUCUCCAGCCUGGUAGGAUCCUUCAAGAAAUGCAGCUUGGGUAGGUUAGAAACGUUUUCAUCCUGGCAUCUCUGGGUGUCUCUAGGCUCUGAACUAAAGGGCUGAGUGGUUUUCUGCUAAAAGGCUGUCUCUGAAUGGCUUGAACGGGAGUUGUUCGCCCACUGUGGGAUGCAUACCUGCAAGAAAUUUACUCUCCUUCCCUGGUUCUAAGUCUAGGUCCAUUCAUUUUGGUGCUUAUCUUUUAAUUGCUUUAUUUAUCUAAAAAAUACAAAAAAGAUUACAUUUGCAUAUCAUGUAGAUUACAAUUAAUUUCCUAGAUAGAAUUGCAUGAUAGAAUAGUUAUAUUAUUUUCUAAUUAUAUUAGAAUGCAUGUUUAGAUGAUAUCUAGGUUAUAUAAUAUCUUGGAAUUAAAUUGCAUAUCGAGAUAAAUUUUCUAAGUUAAGAUAUGAUUCAAAUUAGUCUAUUUCCUAACUAAAAUAGAUAAUAUCUCACUUUAGUUAGAUUUUUAUUUUUAGCAAAUUUUAAUUACGAAUUUUUAUAUAAAAAAAAUACUAUGUGUACGUCAUAUAGAAUUAGGUUCAUGAAAUGCAUGUCAUUUAGUAAUUGUCGCUAGGUCCAUUUAGUUAGAAAUUGCCCGUUAUUAAAAUUAGGUCACUUGGUCAGAUUGCAUUGCAUAUAGAUUAGAUUUUAUUAAACAAGAGAAAAUUCUUAAAAAAGAUUGAGUGACUAUUUGUUAAUUAAGAAAAACUCUAGGGCUUUUAAUGUGAAUUUUGAGAUAACAUUGCAGAUGCUUUUGUUGUUACGAGAUAAGUCUUGCAAUUUAUUCAUCGCUUUUCUUGGAUGUUAAAUUGGUGGUUUGCGUACCUACAUGAUCACCUCACAUGUUAGGGAACAUGUUAGAGAAAUAAAUUAAAAUCAAUUUAAGCUGCCUGCAAAACAUUUUUUUUUUUAAAUAAAAGAGAAAUGUACCAAAAUGGCGUUAGAGAAAUCUAGCGUAAUCAAGUCCCCAAACUCAUAAAUUUAUGGUUCGUAGGAGUAAAGUAAAUCUCCCGUUUCCAAUCGACCUACCGAAAAUAGAUUAGUAGCGACUCAUAAUUAAAAAAUCAAUUGCAUGUUAAGAACUCAAACUUAAGUCCCGAAUUGGUAUGGGUUGGGGAGAGUCCGAGCUAAAUUUAGACUUAGUAAUCUAUUAGUCAAACCUUGGUGGUUCACCUGACACUUUUCAAAAAUAAUUUUUUUUUUAUAUUUCUAUUCCCUAGAAUAAUUUCUCAUUAAAAGUCUGCGUUUGGUAAUUACACAAAAUUUUUAUUUUCGGAAUGAAAAAAGAAUAAAAAUGUGUUUAGUACGAUUUAUAAAUUUUUAACGUAGAAGUUCUUUUAAUAUUUUAAGAUUUUUUUUUCUUUUUUUCUUUCAUUCUUCUUCCAUGCUACCGACUACUGCUAGCAACCGGUAAAAAAGAAAAAAGUUACUUUUUUUUACUUCUUAUCUCUAUUCUAAAUAUGUUUCUCGGGGAAUAGAAAAAUUAAUUAAUGUUAUCAAACAGAUUUCUGUUUGUUUUAUAUUUCAAAGAACAAAAGAACAAAGAAACAAAAGAAUAGAAGCAUUAACAAGUAUAUCCGUAGUAUCAUUUCUUCUGCUUCUUAUCUUCUAGGGACAAGCUUAGUGAAAAAUGAGGAAAAUGGCUUGGUCACCAUAAUCACUGGGGUUUGCCCUUGCAGUCACUUUUGUAACAUGGAAUGGGGAGGUGGGGGGUUCAAAUCCUCACAUUUUCAAGGGAAGUUGGGGUGAGGGCAAUUUAGUUUCAAGUGUGGGUUUCAAUUCCCACACGUUGCAAGGAGACAUGUCAAAAGUCUGAGAGUGAAAAUUAGAGUAGGAGUAGAGUAGGACCGACAAAAAAAUAAAAUAAAAUACUUAGGCACCAUAAAGACCAAUGCGUGUGAGCUCCAAGAGGGGAACUUAGGAACUCAUAGAGAAAAUGUGUCCCAAUGCGAUAAGAACUCUUGUUUCAACUGCUUGCGGAUUUAUUGACACAAAAAAUAAUAUGGUUUUCAAUAAACACUUGCCUAGCACCUGGAUGAGAACAAACACGACAAAUAGCACAUGAACAUGAAAAAUCACAUGCAUGGUACAUGAGUGCACUCUACAUAUGCUAGCUUAUCGAUAAGUAUAUAGAUUAACAUAUGUCAAUCGACAUUGGUAUUCAUCAAUGCCACAAAUCUAGUUAUCGAAACACGAUGACAAAUAGUUAGUAGCUGCUGAAAUGAGUAUUGGCGAUGAAUUAUUAUUAAAGGAAUAUUGAAACUCAAUUUCAAAACUUCAAAUCAGCAAGACAAUUAAGGUUAAGGGUGAAUAUUUUUGGAGGGAACAAUUAUCACUUGGAAAUAGGAUCAUGGGGUAACCAUCAUUACAAGAAAGAAGAUCAUGGAGCAAUUCACAUUAGAUCUGUCAAUCGGAUGGGUCGGGUCGGAUUUAGAUCGGGUUAUAAAUGGUUCGAUCCAAAUCAACCCAUUUAACUCGUUUAUGAAUCUUUUUAUCUUGGUGCAAGAUUCUUAACCCAUACCCAUACUCGACUUGAUCAAUUCUCAAUUUAUACUUGACCCAUUUAACUAAAUGUAAUUUUUUUUUUAUUUUUGAUGAUUUUAUUUAAAAAAAAAUGGUAUUGCUAAAACACUUUCAUGCAACACAAAUCUAGUUGACAAUUUUUAUAAUUUUUUAAAAAAAUAAGCCUUUUUUUUGUUUUUUGAAAAACAUUUAAAAAAAUACUUUUUUUAAAAAGAAAAUUACAUAUUUUUUUUUUGUUUUUCCUUGAAAUUUCAAAAAUAAAUUAGAAAUAUUUUCGAUUGUUUGAUAUGAAAAAUUUGAUUAAAUUUUCCUCCAUGACUCCUUUUAAUAUUUUAAUAUUUUUAUUUUUUAAAUCGAAUUUAUAAUUAUUUUUAUUUUUAAAAAAUAAAAAAAUAAAUUUAUUUUCAGAUGUACUUGUAAAUGUAUUAGAACAAUAAAGUGAAUGAUGCUUAUGAUAAAAUAUCUUGAAUAAAUUUCUUUUUUUUUUUGGGACCAAAAAAGAAUGAUGACGGGAGCUGCUUCCCCAACAACUCCACCCCCCCCCCCCCNNNNNNNNNNNNNNNNNNNNNNNNNNNNNNNNNNNNNNNNNNNNNNNNNNNNNNNNNNNNNNNNNNNNNNNNNNNNNNNNNNNNNNNNNNNNNNNNNNNNUUAUGCUGAGCUAACAAGCCUUGCAAAUUAUUUGAUUGAAAUUUUACGGUUCUUUCAUCCACAGUAUGCAAUUUUUGCUCUAUAUUAUUCUUUUAUUCUAGCAAAACGAUUCGGUCAAUUUUAAUAAAUGGGUAAUUUCUCGAAUGUGUUCAUAAUUUCACGUGAGUAAUUUUCUUUUUUCAAAUAUUAAGUAAUUUCCCACACAUGGUUAGAGAUUUGACACUUUCACGUGAGUAAUUUUCUUUUUUCAAAUAUUAAGCAAUUUUCCAUGCAUGGUUAGAUUUGAAACUUUCGUUCAUGCGUAACAACGGAAAUACGUGUUUCCACCAUCAUUAGCUACAAAAAGGGAGGACCAACCCACCUGUAAGUAGCCGUGAUGGUUGCGCUUCACUACCUCAUCGUCGAGGGAACGAGUUGACACUUUCACGUGAGUAAUUUUCUUUUUUCAAAUAUUAAGCAAUUUUCCACGCAUGGUCAGAUUUGAAACUUUCGUUCAUGCGUAACAACGGAAAUACGUGUUUCCACCAUCAUUAGCUACAAAAAGGGAGGACCAACCCACCUGUAAGUAGCCGUGAUGGUUGGGCUUCGCUACCUCAUCGUCGAGGGAACGAGUUUGAAUCUCCAGAUGCUCGCCACUUAAGUGGGAUCCCAGGGAUGGUUUAUUAGACCAACCCUCCAAGGGUUUACGUUUAUAUAGUGGCUUGCAGCGAGGUCCCACCGGUGCUAUCGCGUGAUUUGCAAAGGAUGAUUUUCGGCGAUUCCUCGGUCAUCAACAAAAAAAAAAAGAAAAAGGGAGGACCAACUUCAAAAAUAUUCACAAAGUUCUUCCCUGGCAAGCAGAACACACAUCUUUUCUUAUAUUUAGGAAUGUUUAGAAGCCGCUACUCACACCUGUUCCAAGGAAGGAAGAAGACCUUGCUAAUCAUCUGAAGAGAAACAUCCCGGCAUAGAAAACUUAUUUAUGAGGGGCUCGACCCUCGGCACUCCAAGUAGCCUCGAUAGACAUUAACACAGAGGACUUAACUGCUUUGCCUUCCCUAUGGAAUCAACACGACCGACCCAGAUGUCUUCCGGCUUUCAAGAUCGGCAUGUGCCUUCGCUGCUUCGGACAGUGGGUAUGUGUGAUUCACGCGAACCUUUAAAACACCCGAGGCCACACUUGCAAAUACCUCUCCAGCAGCUUCCAGCAACUCGUCCCGAGUGAUGGUGUACUGCAUGAGGCUAGGCCUUGUCAAAAAGAGGGACUUUGGCGCAAGAGCCGACAAUGGGACUGGAUCAGGGGUUCCCGAGGACUGCCCAAAGUUCACCAUGUAGCCCCUAAUCUUCAAGCAUUCCAAGGAUCCCUGCACGAUCAAUAAGUCUCACAAGACUUUUUAGAACAUAUACGAAAAUAACACUUGGCUUUACAGUUUAAAACCUUAUUUGUACUCCAAAUAGAUCUUAAGCAUCAGAUCAAGCCACUUUGGCAAAAACCACAUGCAGCACGUUUACUAGUGAUUACCUGCUUAAAGACAGAUUCUUCCAACAAUUGCUAAUGGUUGAAGGAUUAGACUUCCGAAUGAUAACUAAAUUCCUAAAGCAUGCUGCAAUGCAAUGCUCAAAAGAGACAGAAUCCCACGCUCAAACACUAUAAGGGGACUCUUCUCAAGAUUUUGACCAAUCUCAGAGGAAAGCAUUUUAUUCUACCAUAAAUCACAAUAGAGUGCAGACCAACAGGAAGCGACAUCAAACUGAAUUACCUGAAACGUGUCUUUUCCUACUGAGUCAUAGACAACAUCAACCCCAUUGCCUGAUGUAAUCUCCUUAACACGAGAAACAAAAUCCUCUUCCUUGUAGAUAAUAACAUGAUGACAACCAUCAUCCUUAGCUUGAGCUGCCUUUUCUUUAGUUGAGACAGUACCAAUGACAGUUGCCCCAAGGGAAUUAGCCCAUUGGCACAAUAGGGAUCCAACUCCACCAGCUGCAGCUUGGACAAGGAUUGUGUGUCCAUUCUCAACCUUAAUACAAAGUAAAUAGUCAAGCCUUAAAUGGGGAGAGAGUAAGGCUGCUUUAUGCCAACACUUCAGAAAAAAAAAUGAUACAAAAUCAUCUUCUGUAUGUAUGUAGUUAACACCUUAAAAGCAAAGCAUCACCAAUUACUUCAUCCGUUGUCCCACAUAUUUAUGAUAAAUCUUAAUGUUCUUGCACAUACAAAUGCUGUAAGAGGAGUAUAAAGCCAACCUUAAAGCAGCGACGCAGGAGAAAUUGAGCUGUCAUGCCCUUCAGCAUGACUGAUGCUGCAAUAACUGGACCAAUGGAAGGAGGGACGGGCACAACUUUACUUGCUGGGAGAAUUUGCUCUUCAGCAUAUGAGCCCAUUGGACCGCCAGCAUAGGCUACAAUAUCUCCAACUUUCCUUCCAGUUAGUCCAGGUCCCACAGCUACUACCUCACCAACAGCCUCCAUGCCUGCGACAGAUGGAUAUCAUCCACUAAUGUAUAAUCCACUCAACAUGCUACCCCAUCAUCAGCAAGAUGAAUCCAUUAUCAACGCUUAAUAAAGUGUGAAUGAGUUUGUAUAGCUCCACAAAUAUUGAAAUACACCAUUACCAUUGCAGAGAUUGCACGAGAUGACAAAUGUUUCGGUGGAUCGAUUGUCUAUUCAAGCAUGAUCUCUGGAGUAGACUUGAUAUUUUUGAGUUAAUAUAGUCAGCUAAUAGACGGAAAGACUUGACUCCAGAACCUUAGUUAACAAUUACAGAAUACUGCUUAAUCAUAAAUGCUACAAUGACAUCUCAAACAGAUCACUCUAACUCAUUUCAUAUAUGUCAAAUACUUCCACACAUCAAGUUCAGAACUCAUGUAAACAUGGAACUGCAGAUAAACCCAGCUAUAUAAGAGAGAGUGAGCAGAAGUCAUGACUCGCGAGCUAUCACUUCUCCUUAAUGAGAAAACAUAAAAGAGCAAAAGGGAGACUGCGAUGUCGCCAUGGAUGAUUAAAUGCGAACAUGCAUUGACUUGAAAACGGAUCAAAGGAUACAGAUAUUCAUUUGAAACCAAAGGGCAUUCUCCAAGCCUUUUCAAGUUGUCAAAAGUGACUUGAACGAACAUUAUAAUCAAAUCCAAGCCACAAUAACUAAUAUCAUGCUUGACGCAUUGAGUCCAUCUAAUUCUGACAGGGGAAACAGGAAACAAACCUGGUGUGAAGGGCAUGGUGGGUGCCUUGUAUACCCCUUUACGGAAAUAAACAUCGAUGAAGUUGAUCCCGAUGGCUUUGUUCUUCACGCGAAUCUCUCCCUCCUUGGGUUCCCCUAUUUCCACAUCCUCCCACUUUAAGACCUACCACAAUUGCAAAACGCCCAUCAAAAGAUGCACCUUUAGCAACAAUCAGAUGAGGGCAUACGACUGCACAAUUUUACAAGGAAAUUCUCGGAUCUUGAUCUCGAGAAAAUACCCGAUCCAAUAAAUUCAUCGUUCUCAGUGCGAAUUCCAGUGCCUAUAAUAGAGCUAAGUACAUCACCAACUAACCCAUCAGCCGAACAAAGCCAAGAUUGUAACUUUGGACUGCUCCAAACUCAAGUUCACUAAAAUAUAAUAGAAAAAAAAGCCAAUUUUAAGACUCUGAGAGAACCUCACGAACUCAAACGACUGGAUGGCAAACAGAGAAUUUCAAUAGUCAACGCGAAUACCCAUUUUCUAUCCUACGAAGCACAGAGAGAGAGAGAGAGAGAGAGAGAGAGAGAGAGAGAGAGAGAGAGAGAGAGAAGGCGAGAGAGACCUCGGGUCCACCGAGCUCAUGAACUCUGAUAGCUUUCACCAUUUCGGGAGGACGCUGAAGCGGGUGGCAACCGCUCUCACCGACGAUCUGCCUUGAGCCGACGGAGAGGUGGAGAGCGAUGGAAAGCGGAUGGCUCUGCUCCUGCCGACGCUGUUGAUCGGAAGAAGAAGGAGAGUGGAUUGAAGAAAAUGGCGUGGAAGCAGUUGAGAUGGAGGUGACCCUGAAAGCAACGGGAGACGAUACUGGAGGCGUCCUACU